This is a long non-coding RNA of Eupeodes corollae, 406 nucleotides long. RefSeq lists it as uncharacterized. The record is from RefSeq and is a predicted model, not a curated record. The transcript has 3 exons. Lineage: Eukaryota; Metazoa; Arthropoda; Insecta; Diptera; Syrphidae.
CUUACAGAAAAAUUGAAAACAAACUUAAUGUUUUAAGAAGGAAAUUGACCAGUUUACGUUUGUUACAUCAUUUCUGUAUUCUCAAAAACUUCAAGAAUAGAAUAUCAUUUCUGUAAUCUCAAAAACUUCAAGAAUAGAAUUGGUAUGACUCGAUUUCUCAAGUAUUUCCUAAUGCUAUUUUGAUCGCUGGAUAAAAAGGGAGGGAUGCAACUAUGCACACUGAUAACUCCCAAGUGGCCUUAACAACUUCCUCAUAAUAUUUUGUAGUAAUAAGCUAAAUUUCUCCAUAAAGAGCUUCACAAAAUUUACAAUUUUAACGACUGUAAGAAAACAAUCAGUAAUCUUGGAAGCAUGGACUGGCCAAACAUAUUGUUUGUAAAUACUUCAUAACUCUGAUUUGAAUGGA